GGGUCGUUAGCUCAGUCGGUAGAGCACCGGCCUUUUAAGCCGGGGGUCGCAGGUUCGAUUCCUGCACGACCCA
RNAcentral lists this transfer RNA (73 nucleotides) under Candidatus Bipolaricaulota bacterium. Its description in RNAcentral is "tRNA-Lys". It matches the Rfam family "tRNA". From Rfam's summary of the family: Transfer RNA (tRNA) molecules are approximately 80 nucleotides in length. Their secondary structure includes four short double-helical elements and three loops (D, anti-codon, and T loops). Lineage: Bacteria; Candidatus Bipolaricaulota. The record is from RNAcentral.